UCAAUUUCAUAAAGGCUAUUCAUGUGGUAUGAUUCCAAAGCCUCCUGUAAGCAAAUUCAGCUGUGACAGAACAAACCUCAUUUCUUUUAAAGUUCACCAUCGACUAAUUCAUCAAGAUAAGCUUGAGAAAGUAAGAGCAACAUAUAAGUUAUACUAGGUACUUCCUAUUCCAAAAUUUAUUUGUAUUCACCGAACAAAGUAAUAACAAAAGUAGAGAAUAUUCCGUUCUGGUUUCAGGCUCUAAACUCUCCCACAGAAAAAAAGACAUGAAACUUUUCGAAGCAACCAAGGUCUCUGCAAUUCCUU
Molecule: long non-coding RNA, 306 nt
Filed under: Phoenix dactylifera (date palm)
Lineage: Eukaryota; Viridiplantae; Streptophyta; Magnoliopsida; Arecales; Arecaceae
Description: long non-coding RNA (PDAC_LNC007938)
Source: RNAcentral